This 568-nucleotide long non-coding RNA is filed under the name Salmo salar (Atlantic salmon). RNAcentral describes it as "lncRNA (ENSSSAG00000098640.1)". Lineage: Eukaryota; Metazoa; Chordata; Actinopteri; Salmoniformes; Salmonidae. The record is from RNAcentral.
CCCCCCUUUCCAACUGACUAGGUAUCCCCCCUUUCCAACUGACUAGGUAUCCCCCUUUCCAACUGACUAGUUAUCCCCCUUUACAACUGACUAGGUAUCCCCCAUUCCAACUGACUAGGUAUCCCCCCUUUCCCUUUCCAACUGACUAGGUAUCCUCCCUUUCCAACUGACUAGGUAUCCUCCCUUUCCAACUGACUAGGUAUCCCCCCUUUCCCUUUCCAACUGACUAGGUAUCCUCCCUUUCCAACUGACUAGGUAUCCCCCCUUUCCCUGUCCAACUGACUAGGUAUCCCCCAAUUCCCUGUCCAACUGACUAGCUAUCCCCCCUUUCCAACUGACUUGGUAUCCCCCUUUCCAACUGACUAGGUAUCCCCCCUUUCCAACUGACUAGGUAUCCCCCUUUCCAACUGACUAGGUAUCCCCCCUUUCCCUGUCCAACUGACUAGGUACCCCCCUUUCCCUGUCCAACUGACUAGGUAUCCCCCCUUUCCCUGUCCAACUGACUAGGUAUCCCCCCUUUCCAACUGACUAGGUAUCCCCCUUUCCCUGUCCAACUGACUAGGUAUCC